AACGCCCCCGAUCUCGUCUGACCUUGGAAGCUAAG
This 35-nucleotide ribosomal RNA is filed under the name Propithecus coquereli (Coquerel's sifaka). Lineage: Eukaryota; Metazoa; Chordata; Mammalia; Primates; Indriidae. The record is from RNAcentral.